AUUGAACGCUGGCGGCAUGCUUUACACAUGCAAGUCGAACGGUAACAGGCCGCAAGGUGCUGACGAGUGGCGAACGGGUGAGUAAUGCAUCGGAACGUGCCCAGUCGUGGGGGAUAACUACUCGAAAGAGUAGCUAAUACCGCAUACGAUCUAUGGAUGAAAGCGGGGGACCGUAAGGCCUCGCGCGAUUGGAGCGGCCGCUGUCAGAUUAGGUAGUUGGUGGGGUAAAGGCUCACCAAGCCAACGAUCUGUAGCUGGUCUGAGAGGACGACCAGCCACACGGGGACUGAGACACGGCCCAGACUCCUACGGGAGGCAGCAGUGGGGAAUUUUGGACAAUGGGCGCAAGCCUGAUCCAGCAAUGCCGCGUGCAGGAAGAAGGCCUUCGGGUUGUAAACUGCUUUUGUACGGAACGAAACGGCUCUGGUUAAUACCCGGGGCUAAUGACGGUACCGUAAGAAUAAGCACCGGCUAACUACGUG
RNAcentral lists this ribosomal RNA (482 nucleotides) under uncultured bacterium. RNAcentral describes it as "partial 16S ribosomal RNA". It matches the Rfam family "Bacterial small subunit ribosomal RNA", at positions 30 to 507 of the family's 1533-position model. The record is from RNAcentral.